GGGGAAUUUUGGACAAUGGGCGCAAGCCUGAUCCAGCCAUUCCGCGUGAGUGAAGAAGGCCUUCGGGUUGUAAAGCUCUUUCGCAAGGGAAGAAAACUUGCCUUUUAAUAGAGGGUGAGGAUGACGGUACCUUGAUAAGAAGCACCGGCUAACUACGUGCCAGCAGCCGCGGUAAUACGUAGGGUGCGAGCGUUAAUCGGAAUUACUGGGCGUAAAGCGUGCGCAGGCGGUUUUGCAAGUCAGAUGUGAAAGCCCCGGGCUCAACCUGGGAACUGCGUUUGAAACUGCAAGGCUAGAGUACGGGAGAGGGAGGUAGAAUUCCACGUGUAGCAGUGAAAUGCGUAGAGAUGUGGAGGAAUACCAAUGGCGAAGGCAGCCUCCUGGCCUGAUACUGACGCUCAUGCACGAAAGCGUGGGGAGCAAAC
Molecule: ribosomal RNA, 425 nt
Filed under: uncultured bacterium
Lineage: Bacteria
Description: bacterial SSU rRNA
Rfam family: Bacterial small subunit ribosomal RNA
Source: RNAcentral